AGAGUUUGAUCCUGGCUCAGGAUGAACGCUAGCGGCAGGCCUAACACAUGCAAGUCGAACGGUAAGGUCUCUUCGGAGAUACACGAGUGGCGCACGGGUGAGUAACGCGUAUGCAACCUACCUUUAACAGGGGUAUAGCUUUCGGAAACGGAAAUUAAUCCCCCAUAGUACUUAGAUAUCGCAUGGUAUUUGAGUUAAAGCUUCGGCGGUUAAAGAUGGGCAUGCGUGGCAUUAGAUAGUUGGUAGGGUAACGGCCUACCAAGUCAGCGAUGCCUAGGGGGUCUGAGAGGAUGGUCCCCCACACUGGUACUGAGACACGGACCAGACUCCUACGGGAGGCAGCAGUGAGGAAUAUUGGGCAAUGGACGCAAGUCUGACCCAGCCAUGCCGCGUGCAGGAUGACGGCCCUAUGGGUUGUAAACUGCUUUUUUAUGGGAAGAACUCUUUCCACGUGUGGAAAGCUGACGGUACCUAAGGAAUAAGCAUCGGCUAACUCCGUGCCAGCAGCCGCGGUAAUACGGAGGAUGCAGGCGUUAUCCGGAUUUAUUAGGUUUAAAGGGUACGUAGGCGGACUUAUAAGUCAGUGGUGAAAUUCUGUGGCUCAACCAUCGAACUGCCAUUGAUACUGUUAGUCUUGAAUUCAGUUGCUGUAGGCGGAAUGUAUCAUGUAGCGGUGAAAUGCAUAGAUAUGAUACAGAACACCGAUUGCGAAGGCAGCUUACAAAACUGAUAUUGACGCUGAUGUACGAAAGCGUGGGUAGCGAACAGGAUUAGAUACCCUGGUAGUCCACGCCGUAAACGAUGAUUACUCGUUGUGUGCGAUACACUGCACGUGACCGAGCGAAAGCAUUAAGUAAUCCACCUGGGGAGUACGUUCGCAAGAAUGAAACUCAAAGGAAUUGACGGGGGCCCGCACAAGCGGAGGAACAUGUGGUUUAAUUCGAUGAUACGCGAGGAACCUUACCUGGGCUUAAAUGUAGAGUGCAUGACUUGGAAACGUGGCUUCUCUUCGGAGCAAUCUACAAGGUGCUGCAUGGUUGUCGUCAGCUCGUGCCGUGAGGUGUCGGGUUAAGUCCCAUAACGAGCGCAACCCCUAUCACUAGUUGCCAGCGAGUAAUGUCGGGAACUCUAGUGAAACUGCCGGUGUAAACCGUGAGGAAGGUGGGGAUGACGUCAAAUCAGCACGGCCCUUAUGUCCAGGGCUACACACGUGUUACAAUGGUAGAUACAGAGAGCAGCUACAUGGUGACAUGAUGCUAAUCUCCAAAACUGGUCUCAGUUCGGAUUGAAGUCUGCAACUCGACUUCAUGAAGUUGGAUGCGCUAGUAAUCGCGCAUCAGCCAUGGCGCGGUGAAUACGUUCCCGGGCCUUGUACACACCGCCCGUCAAGCCAUGGAAGUUGGGGGUACCUGAAGUCCGUAACCGUAAGGAGCGGCCUAGGGUAAAACUAGUGACUGGGGCUAAGUCGUAACAAGGUAACC
This 1481-nucleotide ribosomal RNA is filed under the name uncultured prokaryote. RNAcentral describes it as "partial 16S ribosomal RNA". It matches the Rfam family "Bacterial small subunit ribosomal RNA". The record is from RNAcentral.